CAGCAGCAGCAGCGGACGGGGAAGUGGAGCAGGCUGCCGAACAAACAGUCCGCCCAUCGGUCAUAAUCCAGUGGCCCGGUGUGGAUGACACGAGGGGGAGGGAGUGUCUCCACGAUGAAGCUACUGUAACUGGGAGGCUGUUCCACUGAAGAGACAACUCGACGUCCCACAGUAUCCACAGCCCUUUUGUCAUACCGUUGUACGAGCCAGUAGAGGGUGUCCAAGGCUUGACUCCUGUUUCUACCUUUGGGAAAAUGCCAAUUUCAGCGUUUCAACUGGUGCAGGAUUGACAGUGAAGGAACAGGAACUGCACUGAGACUGACAGCGCACACUUUCUCCUCCUUCCUCCUCUUACCCACUCUGCUGUCCUCUUCCACUCCAUUCUGUUCUUGUCUCCUCCUCCUCAUCCUCCUCCUGUUUAUUCCCAUUAAUUGCCUGCAUGUCUCCCCUCUAAGCCCUCCCUUCUUUGCCUCUUGCAUUUUCCCUCUCAUCCUCCUUGUCACCCCCAUAGAUAAGGUCAUUGUAAAGUAAAGUUUACAAACGAUACCACUGUCUGUGGUUGGGAAUCCACCUUUGUAAACCUUUGAAAUUAAUCUUAGAUAAGGUCAUUGUAAAGUAAAGUUUACAAACGAUACCACUGUCUGUGGUUGGGAAUCCACCUUUGUAAACCUUUGAAAUUAAUCUUAGAUAAGGUCAUUGUAAAGUAAAGUUUACAAACGAUACCACUGUCUGUGGUUGGGAAUCCACCUUUGUAAACCUUUGAAAUUAAUCUCUGACCCUAAUUUGAGCCCUUACUAACAAUUCAGAAUGAAUGUGACCUUAGCGAAGAUGCUCUAACUAUCGAAAGUCCCAGGAGUGUUCAGGCUACACCGAUGACACGAACCUCGUCUGUGCUUUCCAAAACUAGUUAUAUGGUUAAAUGGUUUGAAAUAAUAGGGGAUUUAUAGUGAAGCUGUUUCUGUCAGUUUUCAGAAUUUUGUACACAGGUGUACAGCACCGAGACAAUGACGCUGUCAAUCUUUUUAAUUUCUGUAAACGACAUUUUCAAGUUCUAAUACUAUUGUACUAAUUUCGUAGCAGAAGCUUAUUUUAUUUGUUUGUCUAUGUGUUAGAUGUUUAGUUACACUAUACUACUUUUUCUUGAUUGGAAUUAAAGGUAGUGUGUUUACCUGCCUGGUAAAAAGGGGAAAACAGUUCAUAUAAAGUUAUAUUACAUACCCUUGAAAUGGUUUAAGUUCAAGAAUACUCAACAGCUGCAUCAGAUCCAAUUUUGUGUACAUUUUUUACAAUACACAUUUUUUGCACAUUUCACAAUACAAUCAUUCCAUGGAGAGUUGAGCGUCUUAGCUUUAUGGAUAGUUCUGCAUAAUUU
Long non-coding RNA from Scophthalmus maximus (turbot), 1372 nucleotides. RefSeq lists it as uncharacterized. NCBI's taxonomy places the organism in Eukaryota, Metazoa, Chordata, Actinopteri, Pleuronectiformes, Scophthalmidae. The transcript is spliced from 3 exons. The record is from RefSeq and is a predicted model, not a curated record.